This 2231-nucleotide long non-coding RNA is filed under the name Gallus gallus (chicken). Its description in RNAcentral is "lncRNA (ENSGALG00010026257.1)". Lineage: Eukaryota; Metazoa; Chordata; Aves; Galliformes; Phasianidae. The record is from RNAcentral.
GAACAAGCAAGGCAAUGGCAGAUGAAAUUAAAUGUUGACAAAUGCAAGUUAAUGUGCAUUGGAAGGCAUAAUGUGACCUACUCAUACACAUUGCUGCAUUUUAAAUUAACUGUAACCACUCAGGGAAAAGACCUAGAGGUUAUUGUGAACAGCUCAAUAAAAACAUCUGUUAAAUGAACAGAAGCAGUCAGAAAAGCAAACAAAACAUUGGGCCGUACAAGGGAGAUUUUAUAUUAUCAUUUAUAUUAUGAUAAUACAUCAGGACACUGAAAACUGCUUUCUGUUGUGCCAGGCUCUGUGUGAGCAGAGAGUGAAAAGGCAUCCGAGUGUGACCAGACACCAAUGGAUAAGGAGAUUCCUGGAGCAGAGGUUUGCCUUCAAGCAAGGAGAACUGUGUGAUGUGCAAGACUUCUGGCUCUGCAAGCAGCUCAACAAGCUUGGAUGCCAGCACUGCCGUGGAGCUCCUGCAAUGUGUAAUCACUGCUCUCAUGCCUCUGGUGCCCAGGGAGCCUUGCACUUACAUGGGCAGGUGGAAACCCUCCCUCAGCAAACACGCCACCAGCUGCAGCAUGUCCCACUGGAGGAGCUGGGCUGACAGACGGAGCAAGGACGACGUCCUGAGCUUUGGCUUGGCUGCUGUAUGGGGAAUAAUUCUUGUGGGCCCCUUUCUGCUUGUGUGAGCGUUUUCGGAGCAUCUUCAGAAGCACCAGCCCUCUCCUCUGUCGUAUUAUUUUUGUUUGUAAAUCCUGGCUGAAGAAGGAUCUCGGCUCAAACAUAAAGCUCCAUCUGACCUGAGCAGCACGGGGCAAAUCUGGGAUCAAGCCUGUGAAGAAAACGGGUUUAUUAGCCUUAUAAAUUGAAUCUGGAGUUCUUGGUGCAAAUAACCUAGUACCCUCCCAAGUGAUUCUGCUUUAAUGAGAAUUGUCAAAGCUGCAGGUCUGACAGAUGUGAUAAAGAUUGGACAACACUAGGGGUGGACAGCCAGGUUCCAGUGUGCUUCUGCCCAGCCUAGAAGAGCUCCCUCAGCAACACCACGGCUUCUCUCCCUACGGAUGGAGGGAAGUUCCCAACAUAUUCUCACAUUCCUCCAGUUAAAAACUUCCCACCCACAGACAUCCCAGAGCAUCCCUUUGGAGAACGAAACACAAAGGGAAUCCAAGAUGAUGCUUGGCUUCCUGCUGCUGAGACAAAUAGUGAGGCUGUUAAACUCUACCAUUGUCCCACGUCCUUUAGAGUGGAAAGAGUUUGUACUCCUUGCUCUAAGAUUUACGCAGCAGUGCUCUCCAACGCCAGGCAGCUGGGAAGUCCCCAUGUGAAACCUCUCCACAAGCUGAUGGGAAGCAGCAAGACCCACACUGCCUUCAUCAUUGUCAUCCCCAUCAAUGGAGCCAACGGGUCAGAAAACUCCCAUCCGUUACACCUAUGGCAUGCCAUCAGCUCGCAGGUGAUGAGGAAAAGCAGAUGCAGUUUUUGGUGAGCCAGUUGUUCUCCCGUUUUGCACAUCCCAAAAUGAGCUUCAAGAUUCCAAGCAUGCUUCACGCUGUAGGGUUCUGUCCACAGGGUCUGGGCUGGAUGUGACCUUAGGAGUGAAUGCAGUGUGGGGAACAGAAAAAUUCAGCAAAAAAAGAGCAAAUGUGUUAACGGAGGGCAAAAAAAAAACACACAUCAUGUAGUUCCCUCUAUUCUUAGUUUUAUGCAUUCGGCCAGUUCUGGAGUGACUGAAAACCUGAGAAUUUGAAAGGAAUGUUGUGAUUUCAGCCGAGUUCAAUAUUCUCUUCAAUAUUUUGAAAAGUGGAAGUCUUAGGCAGCUGAACAGAACUUUGCCCAUUGACAAUUCCUGCUUAGAGAAUAAACUUAGAAUAAAUAAAGGCAUCAUAGUGGGAAUUGGCUGGAGUAAACCAUUCUGUGCUGCAGUAAAAUUCAAUUCUAGGUGGUUUCAGUUGCGAUCUCCAAUACAAACCCUGAAUGUUGCUGUCCUGCAAACGCUUCUUUAUUGGAAAGCAGUCCCAGUGUCCCAGAAAACCCCCAAAGGCCUUCCUUUGCCAUAUGCCUGCACUCAGCUGCAAGUUGUUCAUGCUGCGCUCAUGACGGUGGGCAUCCACCUCACUUCAGCCUUUCAGACCCGAAGUAUCAAGCCUAAACCUACUGCCACGGUUCCCUUGUUUUUCAGAGGGAGGUUGGUACUGCAGCCUCCUACAGCUCUGCAGGCAGGGUGCUUGCUUCCAGCUGAC